RNAcentral lists this ribosomal RNA (511 nucleotides) under Ophioplinthus brevirima. RNAcentral describes it as "LSU rRNA". It matches the Rfam family "Bacterial large subunit ribosomal RNA", at positions 1809 to 2608 of the family's 2925-position model. The record is from RNAcentral. Lineage: Eukaryota; Metazoa; Echinodermata; Ophiuroidea; Amphilepidida; Ophiuridae.
AAAAACAUCACCCCCAGUAUUAUAUUGAGGGGCUAUGCCUGCCCAGUGAUAUAAUUAUAUUUAACGGCUGCGGUACUCUGACCGUACAAAGGUAGCAUAAUCAUUUGCCUACUAAUUGUAGGCUGGAAUCAAUGGCUCGACGAGGAGAAAACUGUCUUUCUUUAUAAAUAUUGAAAUUAGUAUUUUGGUGAAGAAACCAAAAUAAAUUAAUGGGACGAGAAGACCCUAUUGAGCUUUAGUUUUAGCUUUAAGUAAUUAAUAGUAAAGGCUUUGGUUGGGGCAACUGAUCUUACAAUAAGACAAGGUCAUAACAUAAAAAGACUAGAGCCAAUAAUUGACCCAUUUUUAAUGAUUAUAAGAAAAAGUUACCAUAGGGAUAACAGCGUAAUUUUCUUUGAGAGUACAUAUUGACAAGAAAGUUUGCGACCUCGAUGUUGGAUCAAGAUUACCUGAGGGUGCAGCCGCUUUCAAGGGUGGKUUCGUUCAACCUUUAAAAUCUUACGUGAUCUGA